This 7838-nucleotide long non-coding RNA is filed under the name Ananas comosus (pineapple). Its description in RNAcentral is "long non-coding RNA (ACOM_LNC044522)". Lineage: Eukaryota; Viridiplantae; Streptophyta; Magnoliopsida; Poales; Bromeliaceae. The record is from RNAcentral.
GUUUCCUUGUUGCUCUACUUAGCUAUUCUGCAUACCCUGUUUCAUGUUUAUAGUAGAGCGAUUUCGUGAUUAUCUGUGAGAUCAGCGAUCUAGUCGGUCGAUUCUAGUAUUUAGUAUUUGUGACCUGUUCGGUGAGUUCCUCGACCCUUGUUGUCUGAUGACCGUUGAGGUCGGUAUACCCUGAGGGGUGGGAUUGUCGGUUAGUUGCCGACGGAUGAUUAUACUUUAACUUAUAUCACUAUUUGACAUGUUUGUGACCACAGUCGGUCAGUGCAUCAUAUCCUAUACUUGUGACAUGAUUGGUCGAGUUUAUAUCCUAUACUUGUGACAUGAUUGGUCGAGUUUCAUAUGCCUAGUUAAUCUGAGUGGUAGUCCUUGUGUUCAUUGAGCAGUUUUGCAUAUGUUUGAGAGGAUGUCGAUGUUGUCCCAUCCUAUUGACCUGAGUGGUCGGUUCUUGUGCUUCCUUACACGUUGAUGACCUAUACGGUCGAUGGGGCCGCUGGGGGCAGGAUUGUCGGCUGUUUGCCGACGGUUGAUCAUUUAGCAUUUUGCAUUGAUCGCGCCGAUACUCGUCGCAUUUCAUGAACACUGGCGGUCUGAUCCACGCACAGGAGUGGUCUUUUCGGAAAGUGUUUGCAUGUGACAACCGUGAGCCCUAGAGGGUUAUAUUGCACUGAGAGUAGUGGUGGCAUUGGCUUGAGAGGUCUGCGGUGCUGACCAAGAGAGCAUUAGUUUCAGAUUGGGUAACUUUAGAACUUCUUGACGCGGUUGACGCAUAUGUCUAUAGUAGCAGUCGUUGCAUGCAUUUUUACGCUGUUCAUACUUUAUAGUUGUCUGCUACAUAGUAGAUAUUCAUGUAUGCUUUCUGUUUCCAGUUACAGUAACAGUACCGUUAUUCCAGUCUAGUUCUUACUUUCUUUCAGUUUAUUGCUACUUAUUCGGAAUAUCUGCCCAUUACUUACAUAUCUCUUUCAUUUAUUAUUGUUCACUAUAUUCCAGCUGACACCGUGUGUGUGUUAUAUGCUCUUCCUGAUCCGGUGAGUACUCCUCGCCUUCUUCGGCUUGCGGUACCCGCUGGGAGGGGAGACAUGUUUACAUGUUCUCACCUCCCCCACUAUUUUUCAGGUAUCGUGGGCGGUGAGGGUUGAGACGAGACAUGAGAUACGUAGUGAUCGAUAGAGCUUCCGACUCAGGUUAUUUUCGUUUAGUUAUUACCCCUAUUAUUUCUGUUGAUGUAUAGUUUAGUUGGUUUAUGUGGUUCAGUAUUUCAUUACGUUAAAAUAAAAGGAUUUCUGAAUUUUGUAAAAUAAAAGGUUUUCUACCCCUCCUGGUAGCGUUUUUAAAAGACAAAAGUUCCUGUGUAGGGAACAGUUUUCAAAAGAUUUUAUGUGAAUUUUGCAUCUUAGUAUUUCAAAACCUGUUUCUAUGGUUGGAAGCAUUUUAACUGAUAGAUGUGAAAGUAUGUUUAAAUAUUGAAUGUAUAAAUGUAAACCUGUGAUGUGAAUGGUGUAUAAAUAUAUAAUUGUUGGUUAUUUGUAUGUUCAUUUGGUUGUGGUUGUACCUGGGUUGCUUUUUGUACUUGUGCGACGCCGUGCAAAUACAGGGGAGACUCUGUCCGUGUGCACAGUGGAUUUCCCGUAUUUGUGGCGGAUCUGGCAUACUCUGGGGUCAGGGUUUUCAAAAAAAAAAAAUUCAGACGCCUUUUCGCUAUGUUUUAAACUAAAAGGGACCCCAGGGCGUGACAGAUUAAAGUGGUAUCAGAGCGAGGUUACAACCACAACACCAUUCACAAGUUGUUUUGAAAAGUAAAUGAAACUGAACCAUUGGUUAGGUUGACCCUUAGGAAGACCUACGGUGUAUAGGCACGUGAGAGCGGGGUUAGGGCUUGUGUCCCCGUGUGCAUUCGAGUUGGGUAAACUCCGAGUGCAUGGUGUUUCUGUAUGUGUUACGGUUCGCACAAGCUGGUGUCUAAGUUGGGAGUAGUGGUGGUGUACUUUUUCGGAUAUCGAGUGGUGGAACGAUAUUCCCCACAUGUUGCCACUCCUGUCAGGUGGGGCCUUGAUAGGCCAAGUGAGAUUUUCGGGUCUAGGCGAGUGUCAUAACUGUCGGCGCCCAGGCCACUCUCUCUACUUAGGGCACGAAAGCUAUUGCGAGUGUCUCUACGGAGACGGUACUUAGACCAGCUACGGUCGCGACUUCAGUGGGGCUACUUGGGUGUAGCCUAGGGUUUGGAUAGCGGUCAUUUCGGCGACUGCAUUGUAAGUGUUGCUUUCGCAGAUCUUUGGGUAGGGUUGUGAUGCCUACCUAUCCUCCUUGAUUGCUGAUUGGAAUCAGCGGUUCGGAUCUUUUGACAUUUUCCUCGUUCAUUUUUCCUAUUAGAGUCGAAUUGACACAGUUUUGGUGUCAAGUUUCGUUGAGGCAUACAUCGUAUGCGAUUGUUCUAACACCUAAAUUGGUGUCAGGGGAUAGUAGUUGGUCAUAGGUUUCAUCUUGAUUCGAAAGACUCCAGGUUAUUGUCGGAUUCUCGAAGCUUCGAUUAUAGCUCGGUUGAGGUGCAAAAAUCGGUUAGAGAAACCGUUUUCAAAAGCCUCAGUUAGUAUGGUUCGCGACUUAGUGUCGCUAACAUCUUUCGGAUGUUGAAAAUUAUAGGACUCCCUUUGAGUCGGUUCAGGGUCGUUCUGAUUUCGAAUGUCGACUUGUAAAAUCGAUGUAAUGGUUGUGAACUCUUGGUUCAGUAAAGAGGUAUCAGGUGGCUUGAUACUUCGACGUGUCACACUUCCAAUUCGUUGUUGGUAGUGAAUCUUCGGAUAUUUCGCUUUUCUUUUGAUAAGUACAUUGGCUGCAGACAAUAUACUGUCGAAAGUUAGGAUGAAAUACCCAUUUCCCGUGUGAAACCUUUGGAUUGGGUCGGUGUCUUCCCUAGUUGUUUAUAAGAACGCUUGAGUCUCUGACCUUGUGGCGAGCCUUGGAUUAUUCCUUGGCAGGUUUUUGCACAGUUGACUUAUCGUCACUUCUGAUGGUUUUGACUUUGGUCUGAGUCUAGGUGAUCGUUGGUCCUAUUGUUGUGCCUUCCACAGCUAAGAGUUUCUUGGGUAGUAGUCUCAGUUUGUGUCGUGAGGUUCAGAAUCAGUCGUAGAGGGACUUGAGUCUGGUGGUCGGCUUUGAUUGUCAUCGUAUGUGAUAGAGUAUAAGAUUGUAAUUUGGCUUAUCGUGCAAACCUUAGAAUGUUAUGCUUGUCCAAUUAUUUGGUGAUAGGUGCGCCAGGAUCUCAAUGAGACAAGUAAUCGGGUGUUGCUGGGAACAUCGAUCGCUAGGGUCCAUGGUAGGACGGCAGCGACAGGGUCUUGUGGAGACAGGUGUUGAGCAUCACCGAUGGUUAGUAUCGCAAUUGCGAUUUGCGACCUGUCCAUCAAGUGAUGGACUUGCAAAGAGCAAUUGGUGGUCUGUUGGUACCGGAUUAAGUUUGAGGGGACAAAAUUGUCUAGCUUAAUUGGUAUUGUCAGUUGGAUCUUUUGGUCAGAUGUAAAGUGAGGUCUUGGACCUAGGGCUAUAGAUUGUCGCAGGUGACCUUCCGUUAUUGGAGGUUUUGGCAGUUUGUGUAGUUACUGGUGGGAGACUGUGGUCUCCAAGGUGAGAGUUUUGACUCAGGUCUUAGAACAACGUUUCUUAUUCGCUCGUGGUGAGCAGGUUGACGUUGUUGGAUAGUCGGAGUUUUUUGUUUCAGUCUACUUAAAUAGACUCUAGAUUAAAGUGGUUGUCUCGUGACUUUUCUACGUGAACUUGCGACGUAAUCGAGUCGGCUAUGGCUAUGCGAACCAAGGUAGAGUGGACCUAAAUUUCUGAAUGUUGCUUAAUUAUCUCAGAAUUGGCAAUUUGAGUUCGGAUAAUCCUUCUCGCGGGACUAUUUUUGCCCGCAGGUUAUAGGAUGAUGUUAAUCCCAGUGAGUUUUGGUCCGUAGAUUUUGGGUUGGUAUGUUUAUUCGUCUUGUAAGAGUGGAACCGCAGUCCUUAUCUUCCCUUCUUAGAAGUUUGAUCUAUCCAAAUCCAAAUAUGUAUGAAUGACCAAUACAUUGGUGGAGCAAUGUCUGAUUAUGAUUUCAGUGGGUACGUGGUCAAGUUUCGGGGGUCAAGUUUCGGGGACGAAACUUCUUUUAAGGGGGGGAUAAUGUAAGGCCUGAGAUUUUUACAGUGCAACUAAACUCUCUGUUGACGAUGUUUAUAUGUGUAAUUUAAUUACAUAAGCACUCGUCAAGUUUCAGGAGAAAAUGAGCUAGAAUGGAGAAGUUACGCGAUUAUUAGUUUUCACUUAAGUGAAUAGUAGCUCCGGUUUUUCGAAGAAGCCACGGAGUAGAGUUGGCUUUCGGCGCGUAUCGGACUCCGUUCAUAGCGAUCCAAUAGCUUGUUUCGACCGGUUCAGUUAUUCUGGAACCAAUGACACUGACGGAUUUCAGAUUUGAUGCACGGUUAUCGAGAAAAAGGGGUUUUAUCGAAAAGAGGAUUUUCGCUCUUUGCUGUACUUGCAUAAUGAGACUCCUCGUGCUCUGCGCUUGUGACCUGGGGUUAGGUGAGAGUUGUUUCUGGUACCUACUGGGGGUAGGGAAUUCAAUUUGAAUUUGGAUUAAAGGUUUUAGGGUUUAUACAUAGGUCUAUGUGUAAUUUGUGAGUUAGUUGGAGAACGGAUGGGUUUGGUCGCAAAUCGGCAGGUAAAUCGGAUGAAACGAAAUCGUAGGUUUAUUGUUCCCGUCGUACUGAACGCGAUGGCUCAAUCCAUUCGGAAUUCUGAUGAACGGAUUGCCGGAUAUCGCACGAUGUUCGAAAAGGGGUCUAAUGUGACUAAUUGGAAUUUUAUCAAAAGUCCCCAUAUUUUAUGUACCGAAUCGCGCAAAAUCAGACGUGGAGGUGCGUACGUGUAAAAUUCUCACACUAUGAAGGACUGAAUUUCUAAUAAUCAGUUUAGUAGGACUUGUGUGCAAAAUUGACAAUCAUACAUAAGCUUUCUAGGGUUUCAUCAUGGAAAACCCUAACCGUGGUUCACCUUCUCCCUCAGCCGACCUCCCUGCGACACCUCUGCACCUUUUCCCUAGCCGUGCGCGCACCACGGUCGCCGGCACGUGCUCCGACCGCCGAAAAACACCUUCACCAUCACCUUCUUCACCUAUCCUCCAUCCUCCUCAGCCUUCUGACCUCGGGAAGCCACCCCGUGAGUCGGGCCUGCACUCUCUGGCACAGACCUCCCCUCCGGUGUCACCCUCGCUGGCCCCCGUCGUCGGCGCGCGCCGCCGACGCCGCCGGAGCCACCUUGCUCCCUGCGGCCAACCCGCAGUCACCCAGGCGGAGCCUGGGUGAUCUCUGCCUCCGCGCAUCGCCGCCGCCCAGCCUCAGUCCCGCCGCCCUCAUCUGGCCUCUAGCGUGCCCCCGCGCGCCAUCGUCGCCGCUCCCGACGCCGCCGGCCGCCGCUUUCCCUCCCUGCGGCCGCCCAGACCUGAAGCGGGCCGAGAUCUGGUCUUCUCGACCACCGCGCGUCGCCGCCACUAGCAGCAAGGCGCGCCGACCUUCCUCGACCUCCAGCGACGUGCCGCCGUCGCCCCGACCUUCCUCCGGCCGCCGCCAUGGCCGCCGCUACCGUUGGAGCCCGUGGUGAACCCGCGCGGGCUCGGUUUGGUCCAGCACCGCCGCAGCCGCGUUCCGUCGCCGAACGGCGUGAGCACGGGUCCCGGAUGGUCCGCCGCACUCGUCCGCCGUCGUCGCCCGCGCCGCCGGAGCUCCCCGUCGGCCGAAACGAGCCCGUGUUCUCUUCGGGUUGGGAUGCCUAGGGUAUCAUUGGCCGUCGUCGCCGCCGCCUCCCAUCGCCUGCGGACGCUAGCCCCAGCCACCUCGGACCUUCCGCACCAACCCCUAGCCGGCCUGUCCGUCGUCCGGCCGCCGCCGGCAACCCCGUGCCCUGCCUAGCUCCGAUAAGCUUAGUUUAGCUUUCUGCACCUUGUCUUGGGGUUUCGGUCACUGUUCCGGUGAACCGAGGCCACCCUGAGUCUUCCGAAGGUGAGCACGAUGAUCCUGGUUCAGUGCUGAUCAUCGUGGCCACCUUCAUUGGAGCCUGAGAGCCUCUGAUUUGCGAGAUAAGCAUGUUUUUCAUGCUGUGCGCGCAGUCUGCUGAAGUUCGUCUCGCUCCCGCGCUCGCCACAGUGGCCGGCCAUGCUCCGAAGUGUGAGCACGGCCUCCGGCAUGUCGAUACCUAUCAGCGAGAGUCUCGGCUCAGCUCGAGUGUCCUCGGUUUGCGCUAUCGGACCGUAAAGUCCUGUAAAUAGCAUGAAAUAAUAUAAUUUUACGUAUUAUAGGGGACUUUUGUGCAAUUGUACACUUCGUGGCCGCUGUGGGUAGUGUGUAAGGACAGCGGGUGACCUCUGGACUAGUUGUCCAAGGCCCAGAGUUUUAUGAAAAUCAAAUGUUGAUUUCCGACGCGUUUUUCGGCGAAAUCCGCCGACGAAACGCUAGUUUGGUUCGGAAUUAAUCCGACGGAGCUUCGUGAUGGAUUGUUUAGUCGCUGAGCCUAGUUCGCUGGUCACCCGUGUCAUUUCGAGGGUUCGAAAAUGACGGGUGAGCGAUGGGGGAGUUCCGGUGCGAUUUUCGAGACUUCGGGUUUGUUCGGUAAUCGGUUUUGGGAAACCGGUUCUCGUGGUUUUGGUGAGUCGGGAUUGUGAGUUAGCGUUACUUGUCAGUGGGUUAGAUCUUAACCCGUUGGACCUUUCGUAGGCUCGGUUGCACCGUCUUUACAGUCGAGAGAUCUUCGUCAGACACGUACAGGUGGGUACUUCGAUCCGACGUUGGUACAGUGGUGCACGCUUGGUGAUGGUUUCUUACCCUUCCUCUUUUGUUAUUAUCCAUGCAUAUGUUAUAUGUUGAGCUUUGCACCUCUAUUGUUUACAUUACACCCACGUUGUUUGAUUAUACUCUACUCAGACGUUUCCAUGCUUAGUAUCAUGUGUAGGAGUAUAGUCUAUCAGUGUGUGAUACCAUGUUUCCUUGUUGCUCUACUUAGCUAUUCUGCAUACCCUGUUUCAUGUUUAUAGUAGAGCGAUUUCGUGAUUUUCUGUGAGAUCAGCGAUCUAGUCGGUCGAUUCUAGUAUUUAGUAUUUGUGACAUGUUCGGUGAGUUCCUCGACCCUUGUUGUCUGAUGACCGUUGAGGUCGGUAUACCCUGAGGGGUGGGAUUGUCGGUUAGUUGCCGACGGAUGAUUAUACUUACUCAUAUUCACUAUUUGACAUAUUUGUGACCUAGUCGGUCAGUGCAUCAUAUCCUAUACUUGUGACAUGAUUGGUCGAGUUUCAUAUCCUAUACUUGUGACAUGAUUGGUCGAGUUUCAUAUCCUAUACUUGUGACAUGAUUGGUCGAGUUUCAUAUUCUAGUUGAUCUGAGUGGUCAGUCCUUGUGGUUCAUUGAGCAGUAUUUGCAUAUGUUUGAGAGGAUGUCGAUGUUGUCCCAUCCUAGUUGACCUGAGUGGUCGGUUUUUGUGCUUCCUUACAGUUGAUGACCUAUACGGUCGAUGGGCCCUGGGGGGCAGGAUUGUCGGCUGGUUGCCGACGGUUGAUCAUUGAGCAUAUUGCAUUGAUUGCCCGAUACUCAUCGCAUUUCACGAACACUGGCGGUCUGAUCCACCGCAAGGAGUGUUCUUUUCCGGAAAAGUGGUUUGCAUGGUGACAACCCGUGAGCCCUAGAGGGGUUAUAUGCACUGGAGAGUAGUAGUGGCAAUGGCUUGAGGUCUGCGGUGCUGACCAAGAGAGCAUUGGUCAGAUUGGGUACUUUUGAACUUCUUGACCGGUUGACGCAUAUGUCUAUAGUAGC